UGUAUUGUGAUCCAUUCAUUGUUAUUGAUUGGUGGCCAUUGCCGCCAGACUUAAGCAGCCAAUAAAUUAAUUUUAUUUAAAAAAAAAAAAACCUAACCUCCGGGACCAUCGCAAAACCGUCACGAGCUUCGCUCGUGAGGUUUUGCUCGAUUGUCCUCCCGGGAAUUUGGCCACCGAUAACCAUUGUGUCAAUAUCUGAUCAGUUCAUUGCAUUAAUAUCAAAAAACAACAAAUAAACAUUCUCAAAACAA
Non-coding RNA from Dermatophagoides farinae (American house dust mite), 251 nucleotides. The record is from RefSeq and is a predicted model, not a curated record. Lineage: Eukaryota; Metazoa; Arthropoda; Arachnida; Sarcoptiformes; Pyroglyphidae.